RNAcentral lists this small nuclear RNA (701 nucleotides) under Vanderwaltozyma polyspora DSM 70294. RNAcentral's name for it is "Yeast U1 spliceosomal RNA". It matches the Rfam family "Yeast U1 spliceosomal RNA". Rfam says of the family: U1 is a small nuclear RNA (snRNA) component of the spliceosome (involved in pre-mRNA splicing). The record is from Rfam by way of RNAcentral. Lineage: Eukaryota; Fungi; Ascomycota; Saccharomycetes; Saccharomycetales; Saccharomycetaceae.
AUACUUACCUUAAGAUGUCAGGGGAGAUCACUAAGUCCCAUUGGCCGGAUAUGCGCUUUCAUGUAAUUUUUAAUUACGAUAGAGAUGCUAGGCAUUUACCAGAACUUAUCUUAACUUACGUUUAGUUUGGAGGGUUAGGUUCUGUUAUUUUUGAUGUAAGUUCUCUAGCAGAUUCACGCACAAACUGUAGCGAAAGGUGUAUUUGCCGACGUUUCGUUCCCUCAUCUCAAUUUAGGAUCGUAUUUUUUUGUAGUUUUUAUUCUUGUUGUUUGUUCCAUUUAUUUGGAGUGAGCAACUUGAUGGAAUUUCAAGAAGAUAUUUGAAUCUUUAUUGAGGUCCUUUUUUCUUCUGCCUGGAGAAGUAUGGCACUGAGUACAAAUCAGUGCUGGGGGAGUUGGGGCCCUUCAAAUUGUACCUAAAUUGAUUCUUUGCAUAUUGAAAUGGUUCUUCCAAUUAUGGUAAAUUUACCUUCUAUUAUUGAUUCCUCAAGCAUUGUGGACUGUACUUGUCUUCGGAUGAGCAUUGUCUAUGGUAACUUGAGAGAAGGUUUAAUGAUGUAAGGCUAUCUUUAUCUGGUAUGUAUCAUUUCUUUGUGACAUGUUAUUUAAAUUCGUUUGGAUGACAAGAUGAUAUCUAAUGGUGCAUGUAUUUUGAAGGUUCUUGAUAGGAACGGGCGGGUCUUAUAAUUUUUGAUUUAUUUU